AAUCUUGCACCAUGGAGGGAACUCUGAUGCAGCGACGGCGCGUGAACGAUGACGGCUUUCGCGUCGGAAAGUUCUGUCCUAUGGGACGAUAAUGACGGUACAAUAGGAGGAAGCCCCGGAUAACUACGGGCCAGCAGCCGCGGUAAUACGUAGGGGGCGAACGUUGUCCGGAAUUAUUGGGCGUAAAGGGUACGCAGGCGGCCAGAUAGGUCAUAUGUGAGAUCCUAGGGCGUAACACGAGUUGGCAUUUGAAUCUGUAUGGCUUGAGUUAGGGAGAGGAAAGUGGAAUUCCUGGUGUGGCGAGGAAAUGCGUAGAUAUCAGGAGGAAUACCAGUGGCGAAGGCGGCUUUCUGGACUUAUACUGACGCUGCGGUACGAAAGAGUGGGGAGCAAACA
This 396-nucleotide ribosomal RNA is filed under the name uncultured bacterium. Its description in RNAcentral is "partial 16S ribosomal RNA". It matches the Rfam family "Bacterial small subunit ribosomal RNA", at positions 360 to 774 of the family's 1533-position model. The record is from RNAcentral.